This 12924-nucleotide long non-coding RNA is filed under the name Vitis vinifera (wine grape). Its description in RNAcentral is "long non-coding RNA (VVIN_LNC001364)". Lineage: Eukaryota; Viridiplantae; Streptophyta; Magnoliopsida; Vitales; Vitaceae. The record is from RNAcentral.
CCCUUCAAACACAUUCUUUUUCUCAAGCCUCCUUGCAUUGAAUUCAUUGAAGACCUGGCACAGUACGAAAGUAUUGAAUAUCAAGGUGUCCUUUACCUUCUCGCUCACACCAAAGAUUGAUUCUCCUUUGAAUUGUAAGGUCAAGAGGACAGCUAUCUGAUACAUUGCUUGGGCUAGUAAAUUCCUCCACAUGAUGUUGGUGAUAAGUGGCCCCGUCCGACCCACAGGUGGUCUAUCCAUGAGCUCAUUGGUGGGUUGCUCUGUGGCGAGAGCAAGUGCACCUAGUGUAUCCAUGAUCAAGUUUACCCACAAUAAUUGCACUGCUGUUAAGGGGACCUCACCAGCUGAAACUGCUGCUACAAAGUUGAUUACAAGAGCUGCAACAUUCACUGUAAGCUGGAACUGGAUGAAUUUCUGAAUGUUGUUAUAAACACACCUUCCCCACCUCAAAACUGUUGCUACCGAAGCAAAAUUAUCAUCCAAGAUGAUGAUAUCUGAGCUCUCUUUGGCCACUUCAGUGCCCUGUAUCCCCAUAGAAAGUCCUAUGUCGGCUUCUUUUAAUGCUGGUGCAUCAUUUGUGCCAUCACCUGUGACUGCAACCACAUGACCAUUCUGUUUCAAGCACUGUACCAUAAGAAGUUUAUCAAAGGGAGAGGAUCUAGCCAUCACACGAAUUUUGUCAACUUUCUCCAUUCUCUCUUCUGGGGUGUAAUUCCGAAAUACCUCACCUUCUACCACUGCCUCAUUGUUUAUGCCUUGAUCAGGUCUUAGUAUUCCACAUUCAGUGGCUAUGGCUCUUGCAGUGAAAACAUUAUCACCAGUGAUCAUUUUCACAUUCACUCCCGCAUGUUGGCAAUCUUCCACAGCUUUUCUCACCCCUGGUCUACAUGGGUCCUUAAUCCCUACCAGUCCUACAAAGGCCAAGCCAUCUUCUUUUAGCUUUUGGGUGGCUUCUCUAAUUUCAUGUUCUUCCUCUAGAAUCUGUUUAUGUGCAAAAGCAAUGCAGCGGAGGCUGCUAGCAGCCAUACCUUGAAUUAUUUGCUCAAAUGUCUUUCGUUCACAAUCAUCCAGAUCUUUCAUGCUUCCAGAAGCAUCAUAAUAACUCGAACACAUUGCUAGUAUCAUCUCUGCAGCUCCCUUCCAGUGCACGUGGAUUGUGUUAUCAGCCUUACUCCUUAUUGAAACCCCACUUCUUUUCUUCUCCGAAUUGAAGGCUUCAACAUGGAGAAUUGUACAAUUCUGCUUCAGUAUCUCCAUGUCCAUAUCAAGUUCCAGUACAGCCCAUGAAAGAAUUGCUUUUUCAGUUGGACUACCAAAGAACUCGAACUUAUAAGAUCCUGAGGUAGCCCUGUAAACGCUACCAGUUGUGUUCAAAGCAACUCCUUGUUGGAUAAGGUUAAGAAGAUUUUCUGAAAUUGAAGAGGAAACUUCAAUAGGUUCUUGGCCAAGCCAAAUCUUUGUCACCUUCAUCUGGUUCAUAGUGAGAGUACCUGUUUUGUCAGUACAAAUUGUGGUGGCAGAGCCCAUGGUCUCACAGGCAGAGAGCUUUCGAACCAUAGCCUGGUCAGCCAUCAUUCUCUUCAUUGAAUAAGCAAGAGUGAGUGUGACAGCCAAUGGCAGGCCUUCCGGAAUUGCAACAACCACAAUGGUAACUGCAGUAGCAAUGAUUUCGACCACAGCAUUCACUAUAUCAUCAGCCUUUGUUUUGCUGCCAUUGAACUCCUGAUUUCCAUUCUCAUCUUCUGUAUUCCCAGUGAAAUAGCGAACCAACAACACUAAAAGAACUAGAAAAGCAACUGCCAAACCAGCCUUACCUAUUGAUGAGGUAAGUUUGUUGAGCCUGGCUUGUAAUGGUGUUUGUUCAUUAGUGUCGCGGCUGAUUGUGCUCAUCAUCUGGCCCCAUGUUGUGUUCAUACCAACAGAUGUCACAAGCAUUUGAGCAUAUCCAUCUGCCACUUUGGUUCCAGAAAACAAAAAUGGAUUAUGGCUGCUAUUAACUUCAACAUGGUCACUCUCCCCAGUCAUGCUGGAUUCAUCCACUUGUAGUGAAUGCCCAUCCAAGAACAACCCAUCGGCAGGAACUUGGUCACCGAUUUUUAAGCUAACAACAUCUCCAACGACUAUUUCAAAUAUAGAGAUCUGCUGACGGCGCCCAUUUCUGAAAACAUCAAUUUUGAUAUUGUUGCUGACUUUAGACAACUUUUCGAACUGUCUGUUUUGCCUGAAGUUGCUCACAGCAGAGACAGAAAUGACUAGAAUGACGGCUACAAAUAUGCUUCCACCAUCAUACCACCCUUCCUUCAGCCCAUGCUCUUUAAUUCCAAAACCGAGAGACAGCGCGGCACAAAAUAGAAGUAUGAGAAUGGUAAGAUCCUUAAAAGCUUCCACCACGAAGUGGAAUAAGCUUUUAGUGGGCGGCCUCUUGUAUGUGUUUGAACCGAAAGCUUCCUGUCUGAGAGCAACAUCGUCAACAGCACCACUGAUGCCAUUUUUGAUAUCUGUUUCUAGAGCAUCAGCCACGCCUUCAACUCCUCCAGAUUCAAGAAGCAGUUUUAAGUUUUUCUCCUUCACAAUUUCAGUGAGAGUUGUCUGAUCAAUGCUUGAGAAGGCAUCGGGCUUAACAUUGAGGACAACAAAGGAAGGAGUAGCAACUGGAAGUUUGCUGCUAUUCUUCUUCUCAUUGAGAAGAGAAUGUAAAACCCUGGCACAAUAGAUAGUAGCAAAGGCUAAGUGCCAUCGCUUGUUGGGUUUGCUAAGGGUGCUUGGCACAUCGAGUAUGGACUCUAUGCAAUUUAAGUUAACAUGCAAAAUACUGGACAUGCUUUGUGGCAGGCAAAAGGGUAUGUAACAAUGAUGCGGCGGAACAAAGACUAACAAUUUUACAAAAAUGCAAAUUGAAGAACAGAGAAGGAAGGAAAUGAGAACUAUAGCGCCUUACACGGAGAAAAUCUCUGAGACAAAACACAUGAAACUGGAAAAGGCAGGUGAGUAUAGAAGUUCAUGUUACCACGUCUUAUAAGGUGGGUGUGAUACGCGUCAGUCUUAUCCUUAAGACUGGUCAACUGAAACUUGGAAACCAAUUCAUGGACUCCUUUACAGGAAUAAACUUUGCAAUUACAUGGUUGGAACCUUUCAAUUUACAGAGAAGUAUGUGGGUAGUGCUGGUUCAGUCUCAUCUAAGGCACUGAAACUUAAUAUAAAUGCUAAGGAAUCGAAUAUGAAAUGGUGUAAAGGAGAUGUUACUGAUCAAGAAAUUUAAUCUGAUAAUAAUAAAUGAGAGAAAUUGCUAUGAACUGAUGAACAGAGCAUGAGGAGCUGGCCGCUUUACUGGAGUAUGUGGGUGUUUGUUCUCUGCUCUUCUGCAUUGCCCAUCACUAUAGCCUGCAGAUGCUGAGCUUUGUCAAUGACAACUGCUCCGUUGUCGCUCAUGGGAGAAUAGUCCAAGGUUGAAAGGAUGAGAAACCUAGUCUAUAAGGAAUUUUCUUUAAUAACAAUAAAGAGAGAAAAAAAAGAAAGAAAGAAGAUAAGCCAAGCUUCUUGCCUAUCAGGGAAUUUUUUAUCAUUGGUGAACUGUAUUAUUUUAUAAUAAUUGUUGGUACAAAAACAGGAAAACCUCUGAGAAAAUAGAAAACAGAACAUGACGUAAUUAUUUUUAAAUGUUUUUUAAUUAUUGUUUUAAAAAUUAAUUAUAUAAAUAAAAAAAUAUGUAUGAAAAUAAAGCAAAUAAAAAUUAUUUUUUAAAACUAAAUUAAAAAUAUUUUAAAUUCUCAAAUAAACUUAUAUAUAUAUAUAAACUAUCACAACCAUAUUUUAAAAAACAAUUCUUAAAAAUUAUUUUUAAAAAAUUUUAAAAUUAUUAUUUUAAUUAAUCUGUUUACUUUGAGGCAAUGUUAAAACUAAAAAGUUUCCAAAUGCUUGAAUACUUAUAUUGAAGUUUUCAUAAUCUUGAUCAAAGCAAGAGUAACAUGCACUCCAUGUUGAAUUCCUUAAUCCCUAAAGUCUUUUAAUGUAGAUAGUUUUUGUGUUAGUGACUGCCAUACACCGUAAUGGACAUUAUGCUUUUCCCAAUUUCACCUUACAUUAGUGAUCCUUCCUUUGGAGAAAUAUUAGUCAAAUUUCAUUGUUUAAACUUGUAAGGAUUCCCGCAUUGAAAAUUCUUCCUUAUUUGCCAAUAUUCUUCUUAUUUAAAGAUCGACUUUUUCUGUUACCUUUAUUCAUAUAAGAAGAGUGUUUGACGGGCAAAAAAGAUUGUCAUUUAAGGGUGCAAUUUAGAUGAGUUUUGAAGUUGAUUUUUGUCUAAAUUGUCACCAAUAUUUCUUAUUCACGUCAAGUUUAAUCUAAAAUAAAGUUGAAAUUUCCUAAACCACACACCACUUUCAUGGAUCAUUCGGAUUCUCAGCUUAUUAAAUAAAAUAAUUGUUUUAAUAUCUAUAAAAUAUAAGUCAUAUUAUGAAAUAAAAUAUUGAUCGAAAAUGAAAUGCUUUUUCUAUUUCUCUUUUUUUAAUUCUUAUUAUAUCGUACAUAAAUUCCUAUAUGAAAAGUAUGGAUUUAUUUUAUAAAAUCACUUUUAAACUUUUGAAAUUUGAGGUACUACCUCAAUUUUAUUAAAAGAUUUGUAAAAAUUAUUAUCAAUUUUAUGUAAGUUCAUAAAAAAUCUUACAUUUUUAUAUAAUAGUUAUUAGUAAUUUUGGUUUUUAAAAAUUAAAAACAAUAAAUGACAUCUAAAGUUAUAAAAUAAAUUCUUAAUUAUGAUUAACAUAAAUAAUUAUUCAUAAAUGUAAAUUUCAAUUGUCAACGAUAUCUUAACAAUUAAAGGAAAACGAUAAACUCAUUAGUUUAACACAAUGAAAAACCAAAGAAAAACCAAGUUCAAUCCCGAUCAUUCAAACUUUUUCCACACCAACCCAAAGACCGGGUUGGUAGGUCUAUAACCCUAAUUCUAAUAGCUUUUUUUUCUCUUUUUUUUUCCCUCGAAAUUUUUUUUAUAAUAUCUGAGAAACUUCCGAAUCAAUAAACAUCGUAAUGUUAAGGACAGGAAUCCAAUGGUUUUAGUUGGAGUAACAUUCACACAAUUGACGGAAUCUUUUAGGAAACUUUGCUAUCAAUGAAUGGGAUGUAGGAAAGAGCCGGAAUGACUUCCCUACUUGCACGAAGAAUAUAUAUAUCAAAAGCAAUACAAGGGAAUCAAGCAUAUGGCAAUCUAGUAUUCAUUCCUAUCAUUUAAUCUUGAAUAUUAUGCACUAGCAUGUUUCAAGAACCAUGCUAUUGCAAUUGUGAAAUAGAAAGAGUAUCCCAUCCGGGGCAGAGCUUGGAAAGACGUUGACGGAAGAAUAUAUGAGACUUAUAUCAGAUAUGAUACCAUCAAAUUAUUUAAGUAGCUAGUUUCUUAAGGCUAUAUUCGGUUCUCAAAAAAUUUGAAGGAAAAUAAAAGGAAAAGAAAAUACAAGGAAAAGUAAAAAAAGAAAAGAAAAAAAUGACCGAAAAUAAAAAAAAUAUAUUAAAAGUAGAUAAAUUAUUUUUUUUGUUACUUCAAAUUUAUUUUAUUUAUUUUAACUCAUCAAUAUAAAAAUUAAAUAAUUUAAAAAUACAUAAAUUUUUAAUUAGUUUUAAUUAUAUUUAAUUUUUUUUUGAAUAUUUUUUAUCUGAUAAUCAAACAUAAAAAAAUUAUUUUUCUUUGUAUUUUUUUUCUUUUUUUAAUAUUUUUUUUUAAACCAAACAUAACCUAAAACUUUUGAGGGACAAAGUUGGCUAAAUGGCUUUGCUCUGCCCUAGGGAUCAAUUUACUGAGUAGCCUCUGGGGAUGUUCCGCUGGUUUCAUCAUUUCUGGUUUAUAUGAUGACUUUGCUUGGUCAAAAACAACUUCCAGAAGAAACCCAGCAAACCCCAGAGUCUGAUGUUGGAAGAUGUGAUACAUACCCAAUGGGCAAUCGAGUCAAUUCCCAUGAAUCUAGGCAACUGCAUCGACAUAGCGAGUUCGUAGGCAAAAAUUUAACUAAAGACGUAAUCGUUUCAUAUGUUGUAAAAGUUGAACCGAUGUCAUGUGAGGAUUAGGUUGGUUCAAUCCAGUCUGAUUCAUGUGAGGAUUUUUUUUAGAAAAACCGAUAACCAAAACGACGUCAUUGUUUCGUUUUUUCUCAAAUCCAACCAAUCGGUUUAUGGAUCGAUUUUGAGCAUUUGAAUUGCCCCCCCCCAAGACCUAACCAACAUCCACCCUCUGAUAACGAAUUGCAGCCUUGGACCCCUGGUCUCGGCCUGACCUUGGGAAAUCAAGUCUUUUCCUACUUGCUCCUUGGUCCAACCACUUUUGUAGCUACACCCUACGAAGGCUAUCUUACUAAUCUACAAUGCUUUUAAAUAUGAAUGUUUAAUAAAUAAAUUUAUUACUUAAAAUUAAUGAAAAUAAAUAUUCAUUAAAUUUUUUAAUAAUAAACAUUAAUUACAACUAAUAAGGUAAAUGUGUCAAUACAAUAACUUAAAAUAAAUUUUAAAUUAAAAUUUUCAAAUAAUUUUAAUACUUAAAAAUAAAAAUAAGUAAUAAGUUUUAAGUUAACAAGAAUAAUUGAACUUAAAAUCAACUUAAGUUAUUAAGUAAUAAAUAUUAAAUUUUAUAAAACAUCAUUUACCCACAAUCAGUGAUAAAAAUAUCGGUAAUUACAAAUAUAUUAGUACUUCGAUUUUACCGAUAUUGAAUAUAUCGGAAUAGCAAAGGAUAUUUUUUUUAAAAAUAUCGAUAAGUCUAAAAUUCAUCAAAAUUCAUGGAACUCGUGGAAAUGUAAAAGAAACAUGUAAUUAAAAAUAUAAUAAAUAUUUUAAAAUUGUUUUGUUGAAUAAUUUGAUAAAUAUAUAAUAUAAUUUAUCAUAUUUGAUAAUAAUAUUGUAUGCGUGGGUAAAAAAAUAAAUAAAUUCAUGUAAAUUCAUUAUUAAAUUACAUAAAAUAUUAUCCAAUAAUAAUAUUAUAAUAUUUUAUUAUAAUAUAUCUAAUUUUAAAAUAUAUUUAAUAUUAAAAUUAUGAUACAUUUAAUUUAAUUGUAUUAAUAAAUGAUGAUAUAUGUAAAAAAAAUUGAUAUUUAAUUAAUAUAUUAAUAAUAUUAAAAAUACUAUGAAAAAAAUGAUCAUGAUAAUUUUUAUAUUUUUGGGUAAGUAAUUAAAUAAAAAAAUUUAUUUGAUUAUAAAAUAAUUAUCUUUUACUAUUUUGUUUAUAGGAUAACUUUUAAUGUAAAUAAAUUAAGAUAUUUUAAAAGUUAAUAUAUAUUACACCACUUAAAAUAAGGUGAGUUGGACUCCCUCAACUUCGCAGAAAAUAAGGUGAGCUUUGAUCGCAUUUAACUGUCUGACCCUCGUUGGAGCUAAAGGCAGAAAAUAAGGUGAGCUUUGAUCGUGUUUGACUUGACAACAAUUUUUUUCGCCGAAAUUUUGUCGAAAAAAUGUUUUCCAACCUCAUUGAUUAAUGGGUAAAUACUGAAAUUUCGGUAAUUUUGAUCCCCUUUUCAUGAUUACCGAAAGGACAAAAUUUCUUCGAAAUUUGUGGAAAUUUUCAUCCAUGACCACAACUAAUCACGAUACUUCGAUAAAAUUUCAUCGAAAUUUUCAUCCAUGCCCACAACUAAUAUUAUCAUGAAAAAAUACAUUAAAAUUGAUGUUGGGAUCCUCUUCGCAUAUUCCUUCUUAGUAAUAGGAAGAUUAACAAUGACCAAUUAAAGAAAAGGUUAAAAAAUUGAAAGUCGAUGCUGUUCUUAAAAUAUGAUGAAAUGAAGAGUGAGCCGGCCGUUGAUGUAAAAAGAUUAGCAGAAUUGAUGGGGCAACCCUGGCUCCCUGGAGGAAGAGAGAGAUGGUGCAUUACAUGAGGUAAUAAAGCCGUGUAGCUUUGAGAACUUGAGCAACUUGGAGGUGAAUAAGACAGACAGGGAAGCAACAAGCUGGCCAAUCCUUUGUGGUUGCAAAUAAUGCAUAUUUCAGGCGAGGCGAGGUCGGGGAUGGGAAGAGUCAUUUAACGGUGGAAAAAUAGUCAUUAUUGAGUGGAAAAAAAUUAAUUGACUAGUCUUAUUAAAAAAAUUAAAUAUCAUAUGCCCAAUCUUCAUAAAUAAUAUUUUCUAAUUAAAUAAUAAUAUUUCGAAUGAUUAAGAUUUGAAAUAAUAUCUUUUAGAAAUUAAAUAUAUAUAUAUAUAUAUAUAUAUAUAUAUAUAUAUAUAUAUUCAAAUAAAUAGUUUCUAAUCCUUAUUGAUAAGAUUGAUUCCAAAAAUUUUAGGAUAAUGCUGAGGAUAAUUUUAUGAGAGAAUCCAAAGGCAAACAUUAGAAAGAAGCACUUCCAAAUAGAUUUAAGGUCAAACCGUUCAAGCCUUUGAUCAAUCUUAUUAAUGUUAAGGCCUAAACCAUGUUAAAACUCACAUUAGUGUAGAAGUCACAUUAAUGCUUAAGUGAAGUCAAAGCAUGAUUCAAGUAUUCAAGAUCCAAGUCAAAGUUAAAGUUUAAGUCAAAGAAAAGUUUAAGACAAACUUAAUUAAUAUUUGAUAUGUUAAAACUUAAGCGAUUAAUUUCUCAAAAUAUUUGAUUUUUUUCUAAAUGUAAAAAUAACUUUUACACCGAGAAAAAUACAAUCUCAACCCCUACUAUCACCCUCAUCCCUGUUUCUCACUUCCAAUGACAUCAUGACUCCCACCAAUCCUCUUUAAAGCCAAUCCUUUCACUACCGAAUCCAUGGAAACAAACCAAUGGCUUUGGUUUCUUUGACAACCUAAUUUACCAUUCGGUAUGUUGUUGUCACAUUUCUUUGUCAACCCAAUUUUACCAACCAAAAGAAUUUCUAGCAGAAAACAGAGGAGCGCCUUCCUGGAAGACUCCCACUGUUGCCUUGGUUUUCAGUCAGUCUCAACUUUGUGCCCUGGUAACAAGUUGAGGAACAUGGGAACCAGCAAAGUAGCUAAGGUAUUCCAUCAACAGCUAUUCCCUCUUAUUCAAAGUUAUCUUCAGACUCUCAAAUUCAGGAAGAAAAAGAUAUCCCUCAAGCACACUCUUAUGCUCCAUUUGAAUCUUUCAGAAUUAGUAGUGACAGUAAAGAUAUAGGAAUAAUUGGGAUGAUUGUGCAGAGACUGUUCCUCCAUUACAGAAGUCAGCUUCACAUUUUUAUGAUUCUUCUUCAAUCCCUCAUGUGUUCAUUUCUGCUUCUUUUUGUUUGAAACAUCAGAACUGGGGGUUUCCUUCCACUCGUCGGCACUUUCUCCUGAUCCUCGGGAGGUACUUCUCUUGCCACCAACAGAGUGUUUGGAUGCUUGCCUUCUUCUGCACACUGUAGACAUUGGCUUCUUUCCCUGCACAAGUCUCCACUGUAAAAUGUCAGAUCACAAUUUCAAAGUACCCCUGGUGGUUUAUGGAGUGAACUCAUGAAUCAGAACAGAGGCUAACCAUCAAAGUGAACCUUAUCAUAUACAAAAUAUUAUUAUUUUUAAAUGUAUAUAUAUAUAAAUAACAUCUACAUGUUUAUUUUCAUAUCUUCUAUUCAUAAAUCAUUUUACAUAAUUUUAAUAUAAUCAAAUGUAAAAAUAAAGAUGACAUUUCUUCGAACUAUAAAAUAUUUUUCACAUAACUUAACUUGUAGUUAUAUGUAUUUCACAAAAUUGUACAAGAAGAUAUAGAAGCUCCCAAAAAAACAUAAAUACAUAAGACAAAUUUAAUUAAUAAUAAAAGAAAUCUCUUAGAUAAUAUUUUAUUUUUUUUAAUAAAAAUAAAAUUAUAUUUCAUGUACUAUUGAAAAUAAAUAAGAUUACGUUUGACAGUGUUUUUUAAAACUAUUUUUAGUCCUAAAAACACUUAAAAACAUUUUUAAGAUAAAAAAUGGAUGGUUGGUAAUAUUUUGAAAAACCCUUUUGAAAAUUUAGAAAAACAUUUAAAGUGUUUUUUAGAGAAGCAUUGAGAAGGUGUUUCUUUUAAAAAAAACACUUCAAAUUUUUUUGUAUAUUCAUAAAAUACCAUUUCUUGUUAUCCUCCGUUUAUCUUUCACUUUUUGCAUUCUUCUCACUCUCUUCUUCAUCUUUCACUUCCCUUUCAUAAAAAUAAUUUUUUUUUGUUUUUUUUUUGUAGCUGGGGGCCUCGUCUUAAUAGACACCUUAAUGAUUGGGAGGUGGGAGAAGUUGAAAGCUUUUUAGGCAAGCUCUUUCCUAUGACCAUUAGAAGAGGUGUGGAUGAUUUGCUCCGGUGGAAAGAGAACAAGAAUGGAACAUUUUCAGUUAAAUCAUUUUAUAGCUCUCUCUCAAGGGGCAUCAAACCCCCUUUCCCGACCAGAACUAUUUGGACACCUUGGGUCCCAAUUAGAGCUAGCUUCUUUGGUUGGGAGGCGACUUGGAGCAGGCUGCUCACCAUUGACAGUCUGAAGAGAUUUGAUUAGAAUAUUCCCAACAUGUGCUUUUUGUGUAAAAAUGAGGAGGAAACCAUAGAUCACCCUCUUUUAUUUUGUGAGAAGGCCAGAAUGUUAUGACUUUUGAUCUUCUCUCUUUUUGGGGUGCAAUGGAUGAUGCACUCCUCUAUGAAAAGGAACCUCCUGGGUUAGCAUGGUUCUUUUGUGGGCAAAAAAAGGGAGAAAGCUUGGAGAGCGACCCCCCUCUCCCUGAUGUGGACCAUUUGAAAAGAAAGGAAUAGGAGGGUCUUCGAUGAUAUUGAGAGGAACAACCAAGAUAUUAAGUCCAUUUUUUUGUACACUUUUGUGAAUUAGGCUAGGGUGUAUAUAAAGGAACACACUUUCUCUUUGAUGGAUUUUGUAGAUUGACUAGCCAUCAAGUAAGGGUGAGGCUUGUUUGCCCUUUGGUGUUUUACUUUUUUGUAUCUUGGUAUACUCCGUGUAUACUCUUUUCUUAGCCUUUUGGCCUUUAAUGAAAUUACUUUACCUAUAUAAAAAAAUGUAUCAAUAACACAAUGGUUUUAUAUAGCUUUUGAUAUUUCAUAAUUUUUAAUAAUGAAUAAUAAUAAUAAUAAUUACAUAGCUUUGAGUAUGUAUAAAUGUAAUUUUUUUCAUAUAUUUUCUAACUAUAUAACUUUUAAUAUUUAUUUUAUAUAGUUUAAAGUGAUGAAUAAUAAAAAUUUAAGUAAUUAAAUAAUAUAAGAAAAUAUAUAAUUAUAAUGAUUACAUAAAAGAAAACUAUAUUAUAACAUACCCUUGUAAUAUUUCAUAUGGAAGUCUUAAAAGAAAAUGAAUGAUGUCUCAAAUUAUUGGUGACAGUCGCAUUGAUAAUGUGUUAUAAAAUAAAAUAAUGAAAAGAAGAAAAGGGACAAUAAAUGGGAAUGUUUAGAGAAAAUAAAAUAUUAUUUCAUUAAACGUUCUCCUCCUUAUAUAAAGAGUCAGGAAUAAAUUUAUAUUAGUAUGAAUGAUCAUUUACAAAUUUCAUAAUUCAAUAAAUUCUCAUAUUUUAUAUUAAAUAAAAAUAUUAAUAAAUAAUAAAAAAAAAAUUAUCAAACCACGAUGCUAAGAAUAAGAUUAUUCAAUGUAUCAAUGAAGAGUGUAAUAAGCUUAUUAAAAUAUUUGAUUUUAUUUCUACAAAUAUUGAUAAUGCUAGACAUUAAAAAAAUAUUGAUAAAAAAGUUAAAAAAAAUAAUGGUUUAACUUUUCUUUUAAAUUGAAAGGGUGUUUAAAAAAAUGACCACAAAAAAACUAAUAACUUUGCAAUUUAAAAUUCAUGAAUAAAUAAAUUUUUAAUAAAAUCGUACUAUAUAUGGACUAACAGCCGUUUCUUUGUGGGUAGGGAAAAAAAUUGUUUCCUGAGUUAGAUAAAAGCCUGUCCAUUGGAACCCAUCAAAAUUUUAAAGGUCUGUUGAUUCUCUGCACUGUCGUCUUCAAGAUUUAUUUGAUCAUUAGAUUAUGAAUCUGAUUUGUUAUAUUUACUUGAAGCUGUUAUCAUGUUAUUUGUGAUGGCAGAGUAGGUGUUUGUUGUAGUUACAUACUAACAUCUUUGGCUCUGUUUUGUCAGGGUUGAUAAUCUACUAUGAUGGCUAAAUAUUAGUGCUCCUUCUCUCGAUAUCAGCAUUGGGUUGGUCUCAAUGUUCUAAAAGGUUCCAGAGUUCAAACCCAGGUUUCAUUUGGUUAAUUUUUUCCAGCAUCUGUUUAUGUUUGGCCGUCAAUUCUCCCCUGCCAUACACAAGAAGUUAUAUUCACCGAUCUCAUGAAACUCAGAACAUUGUGAGAACUAAACUCCAUAAUUAGAAGGAAAAAAGUCUCUGAAAUUUUAUUGAUGUUGACAGUGCCUAGCUACAUAGACAUUAAGCUUCAUAACGGAAAAAAAAUUAACAGAUGUGAUACAUGACUAAAUCACAACAGAAUGAUAAUUGAUAUCCUUAAGAGUGAAAUUCCUACCACUUUAGAUAGCUGAGAAAUGGUUUAUUUGAGACAUGUAUGCACUUGACAACCCAACCGAGUGGCCAAGAUACUGCUGCAAUUCCAAGGCAUGCACCCCAUUGUCCCCAAUUCAGCCUCUCCGUAUCUGCAAACUUCUUCAAAAAUUCCACCAUAACCACCUGAAGAAUAAUGGUUAUCCCAAUGAUCCCCAAAAACAACUUGUUUUUAUGUAUCCCUUCAAACACAUUCUUCUUCUCCAGCUUCCUUGCAUUGAAUUCAUUGAAGACCUGGCACAGUACGAAAGUAUUGAAUAUCAAGGUGUCCUUUACCUUCUCGUUCACACCAAAGAUUGAUUCUCCUUUGAAUUGUAAGGUCAAGAGGACAGCUAUCUGAUACAAUGCUUGGGCUAGUAAAUUCCUCCACAUGAUGUUGGUGAUAAGUGGCUCCGUCCGACCCACAGGUGGUCUAUCCAUUAGCCCCUUGGUGGGUUGCUCUGUGGAGAGAGCAAGAGCACCUAGUGUAUCCAUGAUCAAGUUUACCCACAAUAAUUGCACUGCUGUUAAGGGGACCUCGCCAGCUGAAACUGCUGCUACAAAGUUGAUUACAAG